GAACGCAAAUCGGGAAGCCCGCAAGGGUUUCUCGAGGAGAGUGGCGGAAGGGUGAGGAACACGUGAGCAAUUUACCUUUAAGUUGGGGAUAACCUGCCGAAAGGCGGGCUAAUACCGAAUGUGAUGGUGCCGCAUAAGCGGCAUUAAUCAAAGGCGGGGAUCUUCGGACCUGUCGCUUAUUGAGAAGCUCGCGUCCCAUCAGCUAGUUGGUGAGGUAACGGCCCACCAAGGCUUACGGGUAACUGGUCUGAGAGGAUGGUCAGUCACACUGGGACUGAGACACUGCCCAGACUCCUACGGGAGGCUGCAGUCGAGGAUCA
RNAcentral lists this ribosomal RNA (320 nucleotides) under uncultured bacterium. RNAcentral describes it as "bacterial SSU rRNA". It matches the Rfam family "Bacterial small subunit ribosomal RNA", at positions 57 to 364 of the family's 1533-position model. The record is from RNAcentral.